AGUGAACGCUGGCGGUAGGCCUAACACAUGCAAGUCGAACGGCAGCACAGUAAGAGCUUGCUCUUACGGGUGGCGAGUGGCGGACGGGUGAGGAAUACAUCGGAAUCUACUUUUUCGUGGGGGAUAACGUAGGGAAACUUACGCUAAUACCGCAUACGACCUACGGGUGAAAGCAGGGGAUCUUCGGACCUUGCGCGAUUGAAUGAGCCGAUGUCGGAUUAGCUAGUUGGCGGGGGAAAGGCCCACCAAGGCGGCGAUCCGUAGCUGGUCUGAGAGGAUGGUCGGCCACACUGGAACUGAGACACGGUCCAGACUCCUACGGGAGGCAGCAGUGGGGAAUAUUAGACAAUGGGCGCAAGCCUGAUCCAGCCAUACCGCGUGGGUGAAGAAGGCCUUCGGGUUGUAAAGCCCUUUUGUUGGGAAAGAAAAGCAGCAGGUUAAUACCCCGCUGUUCUGACGGUACCCAAAGAAUAAGCACCGGCUAACUUCGUG
Molecule: ribosomal RNA, 492 nt
Filed under: uncultured bacterium
Lineage: Bacteria
Description: partial 16S ribosomal RNA
Rfam family: Bacterial small subunit ribosomal RNA
Source: RNAcentral